GACGAACGCUGGCGGCGUGCCUAACACAUGCAAGUCGAGCGGGGAUUUAAGUGGAAGUUCUUCGGAAUGGAGAUUUAAAUUCUAGCGGCGGACGGGUGAGUAACGCGUGAACAAUCUGUCCCGGACAGGGGGAUAACACUUGGAAACAGGUGCUAAUACCGCAUAAGACCACGGCCUCGCAUGGGGCUGAGGUAAAAGGAGCAAUCCGGUUCGGGGUGAGUUCGCGUCCGAUUAGCUAGUUGGUGAGGUAACGGCCCACCAAGGCGACGAUCGGUAGCCGGCCUGAGAGGGUGAACGGCCACAUUGGAACUGAGAGACGGUCCAAACUCCUACGGGAGGCAGCAGUGGGGAAUAAUGGGCAAUGGGCGAAAGCCUGACCCAGCAACGCCGCGUGAGGGAAGAAGGUUUUCGGAUUGUAAACCUCUGUCCUAUGGGACGAAGGAAGUGACGGUACCAUAGGAGGAAGCCCCGGCUAACUACGUG
RNAcentral lists this ribosomal RNA (483 nucleotides) under uncultured bacterium. Its description in RNAcentral is "partial 16S ribosomal RNA". It matches the Rfam family "Bacterial small subunit ribosomal RNA", at positions 28 to 507 of the family's 1533-position model. The record is from RNAcentral.